Molecule: long non-coding RNA, 566 nt
Filed under: Pan troglodytes (chimpanzee)
Lineage: Eukaryota; Metazoa; Chordata; Mammalia; Primates; Hominidae
Description: long non-coding RNA NONPTRT015015
Source: RNAcentral
AUAAGUCACUGUUUGUUUCAAACUGUGAUGACUUUCUGGAAAAAAUAGCUUUUGUAAUAUUUGUCAUACUGGCCCAGAUCCAGAAAGUAGUAUGUUCAGUGUCUAAUUAUACUCCAUAUGGCUUGAACUCUUGAGCAAUCCAUCUGAAGUAGGACCCUGUUAAGAAAUUGUUCUUUGUUUUUUUUUUGAGAUGGAGUUUCGCUCUUGUCGCCCAGGCUGGAGUGCAAUGGCAUGAUCUUGGCUCACUGCAACCUCCACCUCCCAGGUUCAAGCGAUUCUCCUGCCUCAGCCUCCUGAGUAGAGUAGCUGGGAUUACAGGCACCCAGCUGUUUUUUGUAUAUCUGAACAAAUUUACCCUGAAUUGAAUGGGAGAGUGUUUCUUAAUCCCCCAUGUCUUUAGCAGUGAGUCAUUUCCAUGUUGUUGAGACAUUUUCUAGCCUUUAUUGCUGUGUGUAGUUCAUGCUUUUCUCUGGAUGUUUUGACUCCUUAAGGAACUCGCAAUAACAAAUUAACAAUCACACUCCUCUGGAAUGAAAACACGCAGUAUCGGAGUAAUAAAUAGCAGU